GGAACUGAAAAAAAAGCAGAUGAGGAGACGGACCUUUUCAGUUUCGCAGCGAGGUCUAGUAACUUCGUCAUCGGGCAAGGUGAUGGAUGUUGCUGCUUGUUGAGUUUUUCAUCUCCUGUCAAGUUUGCGCCUGAAAGAAGAGGUGAUGGAGGGACACACUGAGGGCCCAUGCACCUUCACAUUCAGUCGUACCUUUGGACUGUGUUAAAUAUUUCAAUAUUGGAACAGUUGAUUAAUAGUAAUUGUU
This 247-nucleotide long non-coding RNA is filed under the name Patiria miniata (bat star). RNAcentral's name for it is "uncharacterized LOC119719659". Lineage: Eukaryota; Metazoa; Echinodermata; Asteroidea; Valvatida; Asterinidae. The record is from RNAcentral.